UCGGGAAUUUUGGGCAAUGGGCGAAAGCCUGACCCAGCAACGCCGCGUGAAGGAUGAAGUAUUUCGGUAUGUAAACUUCGAAAGAAUAGGAAGAAUAAAUGACGGUACUAUUUAUAAGGUCCGGCUAAUUACGUGCCAGCAGCCGCGGUAAUACGUAGGGACCAAGCGUUGUUCGGAUUUACUGGGCGUAAAGGGCGCGUAGGCGGCAAUUCAAGUCAUCUGUGAAAUCUCCGGGCUUAACUCGGAACGGUCAGAUGAUACUGCUUUGCUAGAGUGCAGAAGGGGCAAUCGGAAUUCUUGGUGUAGCGGUGAAAUGCGUAGAUAUCAAGAGGAACACCUGAGGUGAAGACGGGUUGCUGGGCUGACACUGACGCUGAGGCGCGAAAGCCAGGGGAGCAAACGGGAUUAGAUACCCACGUAGUCCCUGAGCGGGCUGGCAAGGCGCAU
RNAcentral lists this ribosomal RNA (447 nucleotides) under uncultured bacterium. RNAcentral's name for it is "bacterial SSU rRNA". It matches the Rfam family "Bacterial small subunit ribosomal RNA", at positions 355 to 825 of the family's 1533-position model. The record is from RNAcentral.